This is a long non-coding RNA of Oncorhynchus tshawytscha (Chinook salmon), 2230 nucleotides long. Lineage: Eukaryota; Metazoa; Chordata; Actinopteri; Salmoniformes; Salmonidae. The record is from Ensembl.
CUGAAUAGUGGAGGUUGAACCUGGCAUAUAACUCCAGGGGCUUGUCAGCACAGGACUGAAUAGUGGAGGUUGAACCAAUAAUAUAACUCCAGGGGCUUGUCAGCAUAGGACUGAAUAGUGGAGGUUGAACCUGGCAUAUAACUCCAGGGGCUUGUCAGCUCAUAGGACUGAAUAGUGGAGGUUGAACCUGGCAUAUAACUCCAGGGGCUUGUCAGCACAGGACUGAAUAGUGGAGGUUGAACCAAUAAUAUAACUCCAGGGGCUUGUCAGCAUAGGACUGAAUAGUGGAGGUUGAACCUGGCAUAUAACUCCAGGGGCUUGUCAGCUCAUAGGACUGAAUAGUGGAGGUUGAACCUGGAAUAUAACUCCAGGGGCUUGUCAGCUCAUAGGACUGAAUAGUGGAGGUUGAACCUGGCAUAUAACUCCAGGGGCUUGUCAGCUCACAUAUCAGUGUUGUUUCCAGCACUUUACACCUGUUCUAACCAUUACUCUGCCAGGUUUGACCCACUGAGAUAAAACUUUGUAACAGAUUGACAAUUUGGCACCAAGAGUUACACGAUGAUACCAGAGAAAGUUGACUUUCAACAACAAGCGCUAAUGGCUAACGCCCUGUAUGGUUGGAAGCAGAGGGCUACCAGCUAGCCAUUUGAUUUUGUCUGCCUAGCAACAGACAGAGGGGCGCUCGCUCGAUCACACCAGUCUAGCACCAGAGGGUCUGCCACAGCACUCGCUAGCUAACGUCUCCUCCCAGACAGAGAGCACUAGAACACAUCAGGACACAGACUGGGAUUAGCUAUGAAGUGCUAUGUAGGGGCUAUUAAGGUCUUACGACAGCCUACGGCAGGCUCUUAGCACAGCCUAACUGUCUUCGCAUAACUACAAAAGUCUUCCAUUAUAGUCUAUGCUCUAAAUGUCUCUUUGUCCUAGUGCUGUAGCACUACCAGUGGAAUGUCAAUUAGUGGCUGUAGACAACGUGUCCCGUGUGGCUCACCUGGUGGAGCAUUAGGCUUGCAACGCCAGGGUUGUGGGUUCGAUUCCUACAGGGGACCAGUAAGAACAAGUAUGCACUCACAACUCUAAGUCGCUCUGGAAAAGAGUGUCUGCUAAAUGACUAAAAUAUAAAUGUCAAAACAGAUGAACGUAUAGAGUUGCUAGCGUUUCACAAUUGAACGCAAUGCAACGCUAGCAACAGACAGAACCAGUCGCUAACAGUGACGAGAUGUCACAAACAUAGCCAACGGGUCAGUUAGCAAACAUAGGUUAAAACUAGUAAAUGCUAGUACAGCAGGUUUAACCCUCGCCCUGCCAGAUGUUAGUGCACAGAAUAAAACACAGUGUAGGUCAGACGAGUGCUGAGUAUAGCGCCCUCUACCUGAAGAGAUGUCCUGAUUCUCCUACAUACAGAUAGAAAACACACACAACAAGUAGAGAAAGUCACCACUAACACAUAAACAACACAGUUGAUGAUACCAGUUAAGACUACACAGUUCCACAGCUGUACAAAGUGAAUGAUAUGUCCACAUGUAGAAUUAUCUGAUUAUAAUCCAGAUGAGUCAUUUCUGACAUCGGCUUGGUAUACCACCUGUCCCGGUCAGGAUGCUAGUUACCAGCAAAGAUGGCACGGCAGAAGUUGAAGAGAGAGAACGAGAGAUAUACCUCAUGGCAAACCAGCAAGAACACUGCAUCAAAUUCAGUCUAGAAUUCUAGACAGAGCCUACAUUUACAUAAAGAGGUUAGAGGUUCUACACACUAACACCCCACCAGUAGUCUAGACUGUUUCUCCUGGUUAUCACCACCCCACCAGUAGUCUGGUCCUGUCUGGACUGUUUCUCCUGGUUAUCACCACCCCACCAGUAGUCCUGGACUGUUUCUCCUGGUUAUCACCACCCCACCAGUAGUCUGGACUGUUUCUCCUGGUUUUCACCACCCCACCAGUAGUCUGGUCCUGUCUGGACUGUUUCUCCUGGUCGUCACCACCCCACCAGUAGUCUGGUCCUGUCUGGACUGUUUCUCCUGGUUAUCACCACGCUACCAGUAGUCUGGUCCUGUCUGGACUGUUUCUCCUGGUUAUCACCACCCCACCAGUAGUCUGGUCCUGUCUGGACUGUUUCCCCUGGUUAUCACCACCCCACCUGUAGUCUGGUCCUGUCUGGACUGUUUCUCCUGGUCAUCACCACCCCACCAGUAGUCUGGUCCUGUCUGGACUGUUUCUCCUGGUUAUCACCACCCC